Molecule: ribosomal RNA, 533 nt
Filed under: uncultured bacterium
Lineage: Bacteria
Description: bacterial SSU rRNA
Rfam family: Bacterial small subunit ribosomal RNA
Source: RNAcentral
GAGCCUGACGCAGCCAUGCCGCGUGAAUGAUGAAGGUCUUAGGAUUGUAAAAUUCUUUCACCGGGGACGAUAAUGACGGUACCCGGAGAAGAAGCCCCGGCUAACUUCGUGCCAGCAGCCGCGGUAAUACGAAGGGGGCUAGCGUUGCUCGGAAUUACUGGGCGUAAAGGGAGCGUAGGCGGACAUUUAAGUCAGGGGUGAAAUCCCGGGGCUCAACCUCGGAAUUGCCUUUGAUACUGGGUGUCUUGAGUAUGAGAGAGGUGUGUGGAACUCCGAGUGUAGAGGUGAAAUUCGUAGAUAUUCGGAAGAACACCAGUGGCGAAGGCGACACACUGGCUCAUUACUGACGCUGAGGCUCGAAAGCGUGGGGAGCAAACAGGAUUAGAUACCCUGGUAGUCCACGCCGUAAACGAUGAUUGCUAGUUGUCGGGAUGCAUGCAUUUCGGUGACGCAGCUAACGCAUUAAGCAAUCCGCCUGGGGAGUACGGUCGCAAGAUUAAAACUCAAAGGAAUUGACGGAAGUUGAAACUCAA